GACAGAGGGUGCAAACGUUGUUCGGAAUUACUGGGCGUAAAGCGCGUGUAGGCGGUCUUGUAAGUCGGAUGUGAAAGCCCUGGGCUCAACCCAGGAAGUGCACUCGAUACUGCGAGGCUAGAGUAUCGGAGAGGUUGGUGGAAUUCUCGGUGUAGAGGUGAAAUUCGUAGAUAUCGAGAGGAACACCGGUGGCGAAGGCGGCCAACUGGACGAAUACUGACGCUGAGACUCGAAAGCGUGGGGAGCAAACAGG
RNAcentral lists this ribosomal RNA (253 nucleotides) under uncultured bacterium. Its description in RNAcentral is "partial 16S ribosomal RNA". It matches the Rfam family "Bacterial small subunit ribosomal RNA", at positions 524 to 776 of the family's 1533-position model. The record is from RNAcentral.